RNAcentral lists this long non-coding RNA (561 nucleotides) under Calidris pugnax (ruff). RNAcentral describes it as "lncRNA (ENSCPUG00000018794.1)". Lineage: Eukaryota; Metazoa; Chordata; Aves; Charadriiformes; Scolopacidae. The record is from RNAcentral.
CUUUCCCAUGGAAAUACAGUGCUCAGUCUCAAGAUGAAAACCAGCCUAGGAAAGACCUAGGGACUGGCACAGAAAGUGUGAAAUACCACAUGAGCCCUGUAAGUAAUUUUAAGGAGAAACUUUCCCAUGGAAAUACAGUGCUCAGUCUCAAGAUGAAAACCAGCCUAGGAAAGACCUAGGGACUGGCACAGAAAGUGUGAAAUACCACAUGAGCCCUGUAAGAACUCGGGACAGUAUCACCUAACGCUUGGGAGAAGAAAACUACAAGCAAUGCAUUUUUCUCUCUCCAGAGCUGUUCUGCACACCUCUUGACUGUGAAAGACGCUGGCAUGACCCAUUAGCAGGAUGUUGUGCAAUAUGGUGCUUGUCAUCUGUUUUCAAAGACACAGUGAUGAGAUACAGAGACUGGCACAUCAGCAAGAAAAGUUUUCUUUCUGGGGAGAAAUACAAGCAAACAUCAAGAAAAGAGGAGUCACCGUGACCCAUGCAGUACUCUCCCUGACACAUAGUCGAGGAUCAGAUAGCUCACAGGCAUCUGUCAGAGUAACAUCCAUCCAAUGA